This 478-nucleotide ribosomal RNA is filed under the name uncultured bacterium. Its description in RNAcentral is "partial 16S ribosomal RNA". It matches the Rfam family "Bacterial small subunit ribosomal RNA", at positions 28 to 523 of the family's 1533-position model. The record is from RNAcentral.
GACGAACGCUGGCGGCGUGCUUAACACAUGCAAGUCGAACGGUAAGGCCCUUCGGGGUACACGAGUGGCGAACGGGUGAGUAACACGUGGGUGAUCUGCCCUGCACUUCGGGAUAAGCCUGGGAAACUGGGUCUAAUACCGGAUAGGACUCCGGACUGCAUGGUCUGGGGUGGAAAGCUUUUGCGGUGUGGGAUGGGCCCGCGGCCUAUCAGCUUGUUGGUGGGGUGAUGGCCUACCAAGGCGACGACGGGUAGCCGGCCUGAGGGGGUGACCGGCCACACUGGGACUGAGGUACGGCCCAGACUCCUACGGGAGGCAGCAGUGGGGAAUAUUGCACAAUGGGCGCAAGCCUGAUGCAGCGACGCCGCGUGAGGGAUGACGGCCUUCGGGUUGUAAACCUCUUUCAGCAUCGACGAAGCGAAAGUGACGGUAGGUGCAGAAGAAGGACCGGCCAACUACGUGCCAGCCGCCGCGGUAA